This 794-nucleotide non-coding RNA is filed under the name Cucumis melo (muskmelon). RNAcentral describes it as "Bacterial large subunit ribosomal RNA". It matches the Rfam family "Bacterial large subunit ribosomal RNA", at positions 1108 to 1463 of the family's 2925-position model. The record is from Rfam by way of RNAcentral. Lineage: Eukaryota; Viridiplantae; Streptophyta; Magnoliopsida; Cucurbitales; Cucurbitaceae.
GGAAGCAACCAUCCUUUGAAGAAAGCGUAAUAGCUCACUCGUCUAGCUCCAUGGAACCGAAAAUGUCUCAGGGCUCAAGUGAUUCACCGAAGUAAUGAGACCUUGAAAGAAGCUUUUUCAAGUGUCAUUAGUGGGACGUUCUGUCAAUCGGGGAAGGUUUUUGGUGACAAGACCUGGAGAUAUCAGAAGUGAGAAUGCUGACAUGAGUAACGAGAAACCCUGUGAAAAACAUGAUCGCCUACCACUGGAAGACUUUGUGCGUUCAAUCAAUCUACACAGAGUGAAUCGGUCCCUAAGGAACCCCCGAAAGGGAUGUCGUCCGAUGGGUACACGAAAGUGACGAAGUAGCUUUGACUACAGAACCAUGCCUGUCUGUUGGAGCGAAUAGGAUAAUCGGGCCGAGGACAGCCCCCUCUUCCCUCACUCUCCUUUCCCGCUCCGUGGGAUUCACCUUGAGUCAUCAAAGCCUUUCUGACUCGACCUAGUCUGAUCGCCCUACGCGACUGGCGCGGCUGAAAGGCGAAACUCUCGUCUCCGUUUGUCGACCGCUACGUGGGGGGCGGACACCUUUUUUGUUAUCUAAAGGCUUUGACUCGACCCAGCGGACGAGGCGAGCUCCGGCUCCACGCACCUACUGACACCUUUCUCGGCACUUGAGAGUGUGCGCUUUCGUUUUCGAAUGUCUCGUUCAGCCUCACGAGUCUACAAGCCUUUCUCAUUCCAGUGCUCACCUUUGAGUAGGGGUCCCGAGAGAGCGUACCGCCAUAGUCGUGAGUCUAUUUAUAGUCACGACU